Non-coding RNA from Mycena filopes, 98 nucleotides. The record is from the annotation of a GenBank genome assembly. Lineage: Eukaryota; Fungi; Basidiomycota; Agaricomycetes; Agaricales; Mycenaceae.
GGCCUGAUAGUGCAAUGGUAACACAUCCCACCUUGCUAGGAUGUAUGCUGCAAAGAUCAUUUCAUGGGAAGACCCUUGUUCGACUCAAGGUCAGGCCA